Molecule: transfer RNA, 71 nt
Filed under: Trimma okinawae (Okinawa rubble goby)
Lineage: Eukaryota; Metazoa; Chordata; Actinopteri; Gobiiformes; Gobiidae
Description: tRNA-Thr
Rfam family: tRNA
About the family: Transfer RNA (tRNA) molecules are approximately 80 nucleotides in length.
Source: RNAcentral
GCAUUUGUAGCUCAGCGCAGAGCCCCGGCCUUGUAAGCCGGCCGCCGGCGGCUAAAAUCCGUCCUGAUGCC